This is a long non-coding RNA of Brienomyrus brachyistius, 4344 nucleotides long. RefSeq lists it as uncharacterized. The transcript is spliced from 3 exons. Lineage: Eukaryota; Metazoa; Chordata; Actinopteri; Osteoglossiformes; Mormyridae. The record is from RefSeq and is a predicted model, not a curated record.
AAUAAAGCAGUGAUUUCCGUAACUUCUGCGUUGCUGCCCCACCCCGGGUUAUUUCCUGCCUUGCGCCCGUAGCGGUGGGGAUAGAAAAUGCAUGUAUUUAUGGAUAUCCGUAACUAUUUACAAAAUGCAAUAAUCAGAAAGAUGAAUGAAAGUGAAGAAUGGCACAAAGUGCGUCAAGUGGCGUGACCUCCUCCCGUAAAUGACGAGCAGGUGCGGGGGCGGAGUACCCACCAGGAGCCGUGAGAGAUUUCCCAGUGGGUGGCGACACAUGGCGCUGAGGAAGAAAGGAAGAAGCGAAAAAAGGGACCAGAGGAGGAUGGAUCAACGUCCAUGAAAAAUCCAUCGUUAAACAAACGCUGAAGGUGAAAAAAGCUUUUGCGUGCUAACUGUCAUGACCUGCUCGUCGGCUCCUCCUGUGUGCCAUGCCCCCUGCUUACCCACGUGUGUUUCCCGGAUUGUACCCAGCUGUGUCUGCUUAUUUUCAAUCAGUCCUGUGUAUUUCAGUCCGUGUCUUACCCGAGUCCUUUGUCCGUCAUUGAUGUUACGUGAUGUCAGUCGGCGUGCCAUGUUCCCCAGUCCGCGUAAUUAUAAUAAAUCCCCGUUCACCCUGCUUACGCCUGCUCGCGUGCUUCCUUCCUGCUCGCCUGCCAGCGCGUUCGCCCGCUUCCCGGACGAUCGUAACACUAACCUUACAACACUGACUGGUUCACGACCUAAUGUAGCUAGCUAGCACAUGUGGUUGACCCUACAGUAUGUCAUACAGUCCAAAUGCUUUGGGUCAUAGUGUUAUUAACAUGCUGUUCUUAAUUGAAAAAGUAAAUAAAGAAAGUGGGAUUUCCUCAUUCCAAAGCUCAAACUCAUGUAUAAUCCUGUCUACAGAGAAAGACAUUCUUAUGCAGGUGGUGGAGUGGGACUGUCUUUAAAAACGUUUGGUAGUAACUAAAAUGAUAAUAAACACUGGUAUCAUGUGAACAACACACAUAAAUGUCAGGUUUCUCACCAAGUGCUGGCAUGGCGCUAAUACUUUAUCUUUUGUUUUCUGAAAUAGCGUUAUGCUAAUAACCCUACAAACGCAGUGCAUUUUAGGCUACGUGACAUACAUUAGGGCCGGCCACAUGUGCUAGCUAGCUCACACCUACAGAUAUUGUUCUCAUAGCCCAAGGCAGCGUUGUAAGCAGGGACAGAGUGGGAUGGUGACGGUAUCUGACAGUGACUCAUUGGCGUUUAUCGCCUUUGUCAAGCUAGUAGGCUUCCACAAACCAAACAAGAAAACAGAAAGAUUUAUGAUUUGGCUUUUAGUUCAGCCUUCUAGCUGAACUAAAAAAUAAAACACACUAACUACUACUUUUUCACUACUGGCCUGCAGAGAGUUUAAUUCUUUCUGAGGUGGUAUAUGGUGUAAAAAAUCCUAGACCCCAGCAUUUGACGGUUUUAGGCAGCCUGCAACAUGUUUUUUACGUAUUAUUUUAAUUUCCCAGAGAGACUAAAAAAUAUGAUGCAAUGUGGAAAUACCGAAUUUUCUAUAGGUGUGAAUGGUGUGUGAGUGAAUGGUGUGUGAGUGAAUGGUGUGUGAGUGAAUGGUGUGUGAGUGAAUGGUGUGUGAGUGUGCCCUGUGAUGGGUUGGCGCCCCUUCCUGGGUUAUUCCCUAUGUCCGUAGGUGCCGAGAUAGACUCCGGACUCCCAUGACCCCGAAUAUAACAAGCGGGUACAGAAAAUGGAUGUAUGGAUGGAUGGAAGUUAACAUAUUUGAACAUCACCGGUUUGUAAGAUGCUCAUUCUACUUUAGAGUGAAGACUUGUUGGUUAGAAUGAUCUCCAUAGCAACGCUUAAGUCAUCCUGAGGAAGCAUAUAUUCACUAGUAUUUGUCGAGUUACCCGUUAUGAGAGCUGCUUUACAAAUGUUGCUUCUUCCUGAAUCGGAUUGAUACCACUGCUCUCUGCCUAUGAGAUUCCGGAAUAAACAGAGGAGAUUUCUGCCAAGAAGGUUUGAUGUGCCUUUUUAGUGUUUGAUGAUGCUACCUUCAUGGCAGCUAUGACAGAUGGGUUUCCCUGUCUUUGUAAACCAGAAGAGGCCCAUUCAGUUGUCUGGUACUGCAGGAGACAUACUGGCAGCAAGGACAAUAAGGCUCUGAAAGACGUGUCAGUGAUAGACUGGUGAGUUCGGCCAUACAAUGGAUCUCAAAACCGCUUUUCCAUCCGCCUCUUCAGACUCCUCGUCUUUCGGGCGCUGAAGGCAGACUCUGGAUGCUACAUCUGCAGUAGGAAAUGAAAACACUUUUUCUACACCCAUGACCGAGGCAGGACACUCAGUGCCUCCGACACUGAAGAAAGGGACACGGAUCCUUUUUGAAAACCAGGUCUUUUAAUGGGGAGCAAAUGCAGUGAGACAGAAAUGGGUCGAGUUUUGGAAUUCAAAUCGUGAGGUUGUGGCAAGAGUCGAUGGGCACUGGCGAUCAGAGGGCUGGGUGGGCUUAUAAUUGGUGGUCCAGGCAAAGGUCGGGCGAUGUGCAACGCCGGUCAGCAGGCUAUGCAAACGCUCAAAGUCUGGGAAUGAAGCGAAAACACAUACACUGGUAGACAGAACCAAUACUGAGGAAAUACUGCUCAAACUCUGGAAGAACAAGAAGAUCUCACAUCUCAUGGGAAUCUAUGACGAGGAAAUUGGACACAGCUGAGAAGGGUCAUGGCACCAAAUAGGAUCCAGCAGUGUAACUAAGCUACCUGUCCCGAGUGGGCGGUGCUUGCUUUUAAUUUAAUUAGCAGGUUAUUAUUAAUACACAAAAUUUACUGACGAUUGAAUAAUUGAAUAUUGAUUUGAAUUUAUAUUGCCAAUUAAGUACAAAAGCGGGGUACAAAAGCAGGCGUUAUGGUGAAACAAAAGAGAGUUUAUUGAACUCAAAGAUCAGAGAGUAGGACAAUAGGAAUCUUGGGGGAAAAUAGUACUUUUUUGAAAAGUAUAAGCUCACAAUAGAAAGAGCCUAAACCUGUACUUUUCUGGAAACAGUGAUGGAGGAACUUAUAAUAUUCAUUCCCUGUUGCUGUUUUUUGUGGUACUUCUGCAUUUUUUUCUUUAAAAUCCAUCUGCACUCACUCAUUUCUAAAAUAUGGGUCUUCUCUCCUUACAUGAUUUCUGCCGUAUUGUAAUACAACCCCCUGCGGUACAUUUUUGACUUAUUAAAAAUAAAUAAAUUGGAAUGUCACACAAUUCAGUUAUAACGUGGAGGUUCACCCAGUUGUCGGCAGCACAUUACCCUGCGCUGGUGCCUUGUAGCCUCUUGUUGAUGUUUUUAGCAUUCCUCUUUUAUAACAACACUUUCUGAUGAAAUGGUAGCGACGGAAAUAUUUCUGAGUAUUACAAACGGAAAAAUGAUUAGGGUCAAAACAUUAUGUGGUGUUACCCUGACACAUAGAGGCUUUGAGUUAAAUUGUAAACCAGUGUUUCCCAGCCUGGUUCACUGAGUCCCCCCCCAGACAGACCCUGAGGACUAGGUUGAGAAACAGGCUGUAGGCUACCAUAAUAUUAAUAUUCAUUCCCAAACACAUCCAUUUAAUAAAAAUCGUUUAGCGUUCCAGGUAUUGUGUAUUCAUAUUUUGAAAAUGAUCCCAUAUUUGUUGGGGGUGUUCCCUGUGUUAUAUAAAAUACUGUACAACUUCAUGUCUAGAGGCAACAGAAGGAGUCAGUUCCUAAUGGUGAUCAGGCCCAUUCUCGUAUAAUCCUACUUUUUCUUUCAGUUAACCACAGAAGGAAUCAUUACCAGUAAUACUAACAGCCAGUGUAAACUGAUCUGUACCAUGUCGCUCCAGGGCUGAAAGAUCUGCUUCUGGUUCAGUGCGGCAGCUGAAUUUUCUCACAAGGUGGCGCUAAAAGCACAAUAUUUCCAAAAGUGCUCAUGUGACUUAUUGUGUGAUCAGACGUUCGGAUUACAGACAACUUUUGUCAUUAUGUAUGCUGCAGCAUUUUGGCAUACGAAUUUAGUGUCAAGAGCAAAUCUUUUAUUUUAGAGAUGACAGCAAAUUAACAAGAAAAAAUGUUCAUAAUUUGGUGAGAUCAGAUGUGUCUUGGCCCUCUUGGUAAUUGCUCCAUGUUUUUGGCAGGUCGGCAAGGCUAGAUACUGUCAUGCCCGGCUCAUCCGAUCCUCGUGUGUGCCACACCCCCUGAUUAUCCAUGUGUGCUUCCCCAAUCAUGCCCAGCUGUGCCCUGUUAUUUUGCCCUGUCUUUGUCUAUAUCAAUCCACAUCUUGCCCUGUCCGAGGUCCGUCACUGAUGUUAGUGAUGUUAUCAGAUGUUUUGUAACGUUGAGAUGUCCUGGUCUUCCCGUAUCUCCCAUGUCUUGCCCCUAAUAAAU